RNAcentral lists this transfer RNA (85 nucleotides) under Alkalimonas collagenimarina. RNAcentral's name for it is "tRNA-Leu". It matches the Rfam family "tRNA". Rfam says of the family: Transfer RNA (tRNA) molecules are approximately 80 nucleotides in length. Their secondary structure includes four short double-helical elements and three loops (D, anti-codon, and T loops). The record is from RNAcentral. Lineage: Bacteria; Pseudomonadati; Pseudomonadota; Gammaproteobacteria.
GCGGGAGUGGCGGAAUUGGUAGACGCACUGGAUUUAGGUUCCAGCGCCGCAAGGUGUGAGAGUUCGAGUCUCUCCUUCCGCACCA